This is a long non-coding RNA of Notothenia coriiceps (black rockcod), 387 nucleotides long. RefSeq lists it as uncharacterized. NCBI's taxonomy places the organism in Eukaryota, Metazoa, Chordata, Actinopteri, Perciformes, Nototheniidae. The record is from RefSeq and is a predicted model, not a curated record. The transcript has 3 exons.
UGUAUGUGUGUGCGCGCAUGUGAAGGCGUCUGUGUGAGGCAGUUUCAACUCGUUAUUUGACAUCAGAGCGCCGUGGGCGGAGCCUCAGGAUCCUGGCAGAGUACUUCCUCGGUCGGUGGUCGGGGAAACUGAAGCCUGUGGCUCUCCAGGGUCUGUCGCUGCUCCUUUCUGAUAGAAAGGUCCCACCCCAGCCGCUGUGGUUUGCUCCAGGAUUGGCCAACAUCAGAAAGCUCCAGGAGUUGCCCUAUCACCUGCUGCAUGCUGGUCUGUGGGAGGAGCUGCAACAGGAAGUCAUUGGCAGUGCUGAGUGGCUGUACUGUAAGAGCAGGGUUUGUGGGGUGUCCAGUGUGAUCCAGGAUCUGGACCAGUGCUCCAAGUACAUGGACU